UACAGAGGGUGCGAGCGUUGUUCGGAAUUACUGGGCGUAAAGGGCGCGUAGGCGGCCCUCUAAGUCGAACGUGAAAUCCCCGGGCUCAACCCGGGAACUGCGUCCGAUACUGGAGGGCUCGAAUCCGGGAGAGGGAUGUGGAAUUCCAGGUGUAGCGGUGAAAUGCGUAGAUAUCUGGAGGAACACCGGUGGCGAAGGCGGCAUCCUGGACCGGUAUUGACGCUGAGGCGCGAAAGCCAGGGGAGCAAACGGG
This 253-nucleotide ribosomal RNA is filed under the name uncultured bacterium. RNAcentral's name for it is "partial 16S ribosomal RNA". It matches the Rfam family "Bacterial small subunit ribosomal RNA", at positions 524 to 776 of the family's 1533-position model. The record is from RNAcentral.